This 25-nucleotide non-coding RNA is filed under the name Drosophila melanogaster (fruit fly). The record is from RNAcentral. Lineage: Eukaryota; Metazoa; Arthropoda; Insecta; Diptera; Drosophilidae. RNAcentral also lists the same sequence under 7 other names.
GUAAAAGUCGUAACAAGGUUUCCGU